This 333-nucleotide ribosomal RNA is filed under the name uncultured bacterium. Its description in RNAcentral is "partial 16S ribosomal RNA". It matches the Rfam family "Bacterial small subunit ribosomal RNA", at positions 338 to 668 of the family's 1533-position model. The record is from RNAcentral.
CCUACGGGAGGCAGCAGUGAGGAAUAUUGGUCAAUGGGCGCAAGCCUGAUCCAGCCAAGUCGCGUGCAGGAUGACGGCCCUACGGGUUGUAAGCUGCUUUUAUACGGGAAUAACGCGCCUUACGUGUAGGGCUUUGCAUGUACCGUAUGCAUACGGACAGGCUAAUUCCGGGCCAGCAGCCGCGGUAAUACGGAAGGUCCGGGCGUUACUCGGAUUGAUUGGGUUUAAAGGGAGCGUAGGCCGCAUGUCAAGCGUGCUGUGAAAUGUACGGGCUCAACCCGGGCAUUGCAGUGGGAACUGGCGUGCUUGAGUCGGCGGGAAGCAGGUAGAAUU